CCAGUUUUGCCCAUGUUUUUAAUCCACAGACUGUUUAAUAUGAGAUGUCUUAUUUGAAUGUUAGGAUCCUGUUCAGACACAAUACAUUUUUUAUUUAAAUUUUGUACUAGAAUGCCCAAAGUGGGAAGUCAACAUGAAAAUUGGAAUCAAGAUACUAAUACCACUCGAGUGUUCUUAGGAGCAAAUAUAAAGUCUCUGGAGAGAUAAAGCCAAAACCCAGGACUCAAGAUGAGAUUCUAAUAAAAGAUAGAAGACAUAGGUAUCAUAGGAAGAAUCAAUAAGACACAGACCUGGAUUAUACCUUUAAGAUAUUGAAAUGAUAGAAUGAUAAUAUCAAAGAUUUUAUAAAUUGAAUAUAUAGUGGAAAUAUUCAAGACCUAAGAGAGAAGCUCAACACAUCAAAGAAAGAAUAGGAUAUUUUGAAAAAUGAGUAGACAAGUUGGAAAAAGAAGUG
RNAcentral lists this long non-coding RNA (454 nucleotides) under Bos taurus (domestic cattle). RNAcentral's name for it is "long non-coding RNA NONBTAT024137". The record is from RNAcentral. Lineage: Eukaryota; Metazoa; Chordata; Mammalia; Artiodactyla; Bovidae.